Molecule: ribosomal RNA, 836 nt
Filed under: Pseudomonas veronii
Lineage: Bacteria; Pseudomonadati; Pseudomonadota; Gammaproteobacteria; Pseudomonadales; Pseudomonadaceae
Description: bacterial SSU rRNA
Rfam family: Bacterial small subunit ribosomal RNA
Source: RNAcentral
AGUCGAGCGGUAGAGAGAAGCUUGCUUCUCUUGAGAGCGGCGGACGGGUGAGUAAUGCCUAGGAAUCUGCCUGGUAGUGGGGGAUAACGUUCGGAAACGGACGCUAAUACCGCAUACGUCCUACGGGAGAAAGCAGGGGACCUUCGGGCCUUGCGCUAUCAGAUGAGCCUAGGUCGGAUUAGCUAGUUGGUGAGGUAAUGGCUCACCAAGGCGACGAUCCGUAACUGGUCUGAGAGGAUGAUCAGUCACACUGGAACUGAGACACGGUCCAGACUCCUACGGGAGGCAGCAGUGGGGAAUAUUGGACAAUGGGCGAAAGCCUGAUCCAGCCAUGCCGCGUGUGUGAAGAAGGUCUUCGGAUUGUAAAGCACUUUAAGUUGGGAGGAAGGGCAGUUACCUAAUACGUGAUUGUUUUGACGUUACCGACAGAAUAAGCACCGGCUAACUCUGUGCCAGCAGCCGCGGUAAUACAGAGGGUGCAAGCGUUAAUCGGAAUUACUGGGCGUAAAGCGCGCGUAGGUGGUUUGUUAAGUUGGAUGUGAAAUCCCCGGGCUCAACCUGGGAACUGCAUUCAAAACUGACUGACUAGAGUAUGGUAGAGGGUGGUGGAAUUUCCUGUGUAGCGGUGAAAUGCGUAGAUAUAGGAAGGAACACCAGUGGCGAAGGCGACCACCUGGACUGAUACUGACACUGAGGUGCGAAAGCGUGGGGAGCAAACAGGAUUAGAUACCCUGGUAGUCCACGCCGUAAACGAUGUCAACUAGCCGUUGGGAGCUCUUGAGCUCUUAGUGGCGCAGCUAACGCAUAAAUCCAAAUCUUAGACGCGCCAGAAAACC